UCUACAUAUGGGCUAAACAAAUAAACUGUGUUAACUGAGUGAUUAUGUUAAAAUGACCAGAUGGAUUUCUGUGGAGGGAUAUGGGUCAGUGAGGAUCCCAUUACAUAUUGGUGCUGUUUCAGAUCAGGGGCAAAUCACUUGUUUUUAAUAUUGUGAAAUAUUUUAGCAGUUUUUUUUUUCAGAGAACAAUUCAUGGAUCUUGAUAAACAAAAACAUAUUUAGGAGUGUACAGCUGCAGUGCAUUGGUGCAGUUUGAUUGAAUUUGAAUUACAUUUUUUCUAUUUUAUGAUUUGAUCAAUGAUCACUCCACAUAUAAUUUUUUUUUACAGUACUGUAUUUUUCACAAUACUUUAUCACAGUUGAAAUUCAUGCCUUGUUUUCAGGUUUUCAAAAAAAAAUUAUUCGUAUGACUUGAAAUACAUAAAAUAUGAYUUAAAUAGUAUGAAUAAUAUCAUGUAAUCCAACAAAGAUUAAGUAAAAUCUCAUGCUAUAAAAUGUAUAAUUACUGACGACAAAACACCUUCUGCAUCUCAGUCAACCAGCUACACUUCCACCAGUAGAGGGCAGAACAGCACCAGGAAAUAACUGAAAUCCAAGCAACAGCAUCAUCCACCACAGCUUUUUAAAACCCUGAGUCACACACACACACACACAAUGACCUUUGACCCCAUCCAGGUGGAGUUUACAGGAAGUGUGUCAGGUAAAAUAUCUUCUACAAAUUAAACUCACCUCAGUUCACUGAACCAUGAAAAUGUCCAAUGUGAUGAAACUCGUCUCAACUGCAACAAAAAUCAAAGAGAAGCAAUUUGAUAUCAGAAGGCACAAAAAGUCUGAAUAUUAUGAAUAUGGCAGUAUAUUCRAUUAACAUAUCAUUCAAUUCAAUUCAAUGUUAUUUGUAUAGCRCCAAAUAUAUACCAUAUACUUUGAAAAUCUUGAUUUGCAGUGAUUAAUGUUGACAAGGAAAUAUUUCAGAUUUAAAGGUUCUUUCCAAAUCCAAAUUGUUUUUCAAUGUUUCCUCCAAAGUUGCUCGAUUUUACCAUUAAAAGAAAAUAAGCAGCUUCUAGCUCAGUGACGAUUUGUAAACAGUGUUUGUGAAUUUUAUUUGUCAGAAUUCAUGGGUCUAAUGUUGUGUCCACAUACUUUUGUCCUUAUCUUGUAUCUACACACUCGUUUAUCAACCAGAUUUCUCUGGCUCUCCUCAUCAGGUGGUGAACCUCAUCACAGUAUGCCGAGAGUCGCCCGUGUCAUCUGGUCGACCCCCCCCCCACACACACACACACUCACUCACACACACAUGCAGAGUGAGAGAGUGUUGUGGCCCAGCUGGGUAAACGAGCUGCUCGCUCUCUCUCUCUGAGGUAUUUGGUUGGUUAUGGAUCCCUGAGGGACGACGCUGCCUCCUGUGUGCAGAGGAUCCUUGCCAGGCCCUCGGUUGAAGUGUGUGUGUGUGUGUUGGAGAGAGAGAGAGAUACUUUGGCUGCUCACGACCACUAUGUAUGUUUAUGUGUGGAUGCAAUCACACUGACAUUUUUUUUUUCUCCUGUCGCACGGAACACACUUUUCAAAGCAACACACCUAAAAUUGAUCUGAACGUUCCAAAGUCAGAAGGUGAGGAGUGGGAGAAUUAGAAUCUUGUGAGGCUGGAAAGAUUUUACUGAGAGCAGACUGACUUUUCUUCAGAGCAGAUGCAGUUCUCCCUUAAACGUAACUCGAGUAUUUAACAACAUAUUCCAAGUUGAGCAGACGYGUAAUCGUGCUGAGAUAAAAUGUCGUUUUUGCUAAGAGGUWGUUAACUGUCACUCGAGCUGCCGCUGAUUCAGCAGCAUGUUAAAGACCACCCCCUGAAACAGCAACUUGUUUUGUCUCUUUCUCCUUAAGAAUGCCCCACUGUCCCCUAGACCUCAUUCACUCCAGGGCAACACCGAUCUAUAAUGUGGAAGAUUACAGCACAUCACUUAGCAAUGCAGUUGAUUGGAAAAAAUUAGACUUUAUAAACUGUCAAUGAAGAUCUUUUCCCAUUUGGGGUUUUUAAGCAUCAGGUGGUGUUUUGUCACUGUUAAGAGAAAUCCUGCAUCACAUCCUGUUCUUCAUUUUUUUUGCCAAAGCUUGAGUUUAACGUCCCCAAGUUCAAACUCCUAAAACAUGUUUGUAGUUACAGUUUCAUCCUAAAACACGUCCUGUAUAUUUUGGCGUUUUCACCCCCUCUGUCACAUUUCUCCUCACUUUCACACAGAAGCAAACCUGACGGAGACAAAUGCAAAUUCUGUUGUUCUCCAUUUUUAAUUGUGUGUUGAUCAUUUUGCAAAUGUAAUAAAUCUACUUUUCUCCUCACACUCGCAGCUCGAAAUUUCCAGCUCUUAGUUUCGGUUUCUGCCUGUCUUUUUCUGGCUCCAACAACUUUGUUCCAUUUCUCAUUCUCUGGCAUAAUUACAGCAUUCUCCAAUGCUCRGGCAUGCUGUAGAUACCCCCUCCUCCUUUUCUUUCCUUCUUUUUUUUGUGUUUUUUGGUUUGGCUCUCAUUAAUAAUUCACAGAAAGAGACUGGGAAAUUUUAGUGCAAUUUGCAGCUGCUGAAUCCCAGUUAUUGUUUUGCAGGGUGUUGCACAGAGAGAGCAAACCUCGGAUGAAGGCUUUGUAGUCCUGAAUGUAAUUUGGCUACGUCUCUAUGACAGRCCACACAUCAUUAGGGGGCUGAAGGAGAUGUGGGGGGGUAACGGCUCCGUCCAACCAGUCAAACACACUGUCCUCAUCUGUCUCUCCAAACCCCCGACGCUCCGUGUUUCCUUAAUGCUUUGAGAUGCUGUUUGUUCAUAUUUAUGCCUCAUAACUAUCUAUGUUUUAUUCCGUUUGUUUGCAUUCGACCAGGCAGCCGCUGAAUUAUUCAGAUUGGGCCGAGCGGCUUCGCAAAGAUGACAACGGGAAACUUUUUGGCUGCUUUUCUUCCAAAAUGCAAGACCAGACGCAACUUGAAAGAGGAGCAGUGGCUUUGUCAACCAAGUUUCUUUUUAGGGCAUCCUGGUGACCUAGUGAUUAAGAUGCGUAAACCACAACUACAACAGCUGGAAUCGGACUGUUUCUAUGCACCAUCCACCAAGAGAAGAGUCCAGAAGACACCAGGUCUCAGAGGAAAAAGCAAGAAACAAUAUCAAACUCUUUUUUCCUCUCCCUAUUUUGCCAGGCCUGACCUAUUUUGCACAGAGUAUCUCAUAACCGGAGAGUUUAGGGCUGUUUAAUGCUAGGUGACACAGCAGUGUCCUGCAGUCUUUUCUUUCUUAAUCCCUGGCAUCUUUGGUAAAAGAUCUCUCAGAAGAAACAGCGCUCCUUUCUGGCAUCCAGCCGCCGGAGGGAAGGGGAGAUUGUCAGGGUGCAUUUCUCCAGUGCUCGCCAGCCACUCCUCAGGAGGGUUGUUGGUGUGUGUGGGUAAAUCUCCCCCUUUUUUUGUUGGCGAGUUAGGUAAAUUGAGGGGGGAGGAGGGGAAGAAGAAAGAGAGGUGGCAGCUUUUCCCCCAUGGAGAACAAUUCCACCUAAAGCUGUUUUUGGAAAUUACAGGAAUGUUUCUCUUGUAUUGCUCUUGUCACCUUGCCUCCAACAUGGCCGCAAACAAACUAAAGUGAAACUCAGUGAUGCGUUUCCUCCAGAGUGGUGGAGGAAGGAGGAAGAAAAGGAGGAGGAUGCCCUGCGGGCUGGUGUUUCGUGYCAUCCUCUGAUAGCGGAUUUUGUUUGGAGGGAUGUUGAACUCGAGCGCCGACUGCGUGUCCAGUAAUCUCACUGACCUCGCUGCCCAGCCGCCGAGGAGAAAACAGUSUGAGGCUGCUGGCCAUUGUGAAUCCAGGACCGGCUGUAAUCCACGUCUUACUCUGGGAAAUGUGGGUGUCGACGUCUCCAAAAAUGUGCUCAGAUUUAAAACUACAUAGAAAUGUUGCAACCCUUGUCUUMUAGUUUGGCCAAGAUCUGUGUUGAAUACUCAGUGUGACUAGAGAUGCUGUCAGUACUCUGUGUCCAUGAAUAAUAUCCCAUGUUUGUGUUCACAGCUGCAUUUUAGUUCAAACCAACAUGAAUGAGGUAAAACAAUGCAAUUCAUAGUUUUUUUUUGUAUAAUUUAAAUUGUGUGUUAUGUUUGAGCCUCUCAUUGUCUCUAUCUCUCUCUGCAGGGAUCUCUGACAAUUAUUAUCAUUAUUAUUAAAUGAGUCUUUGAAGGAUCAACUGAAUUGGGUCAAACCUAAAGAGUCAUUCGUUUUAACAACAGAGAAAUUCGGCAACAAACUUUGCUCAAAUACACCGAAUUCUGGUUCUGAAAAAAAGCUAAGGAUAGAAGUCAGUCCCUCACGUGCUGAGUCAUAAAGUUCCUGUWAUGUUCUGCUGAGACCAGCUCACUUUCUUUCAUAUGCAGUUUGGCUGGUGCUGUAUCUAAAACACACAUUGCUGACCUGAGGUUUGAUCCCUGAAUUAGAUUCUUCAAWCAUAAAGAAGUUUGUCUGCUGCCUUUUCUUGAUUGGGGAAGUAUGACAGAGCAUMUGAGGUGGUAACUGCUACUAGUGGGACAAAAUGUAAAGGAAGCCAAGUAAAAAGCACGGUGGUUGGGUACAUCUAUACUUGUCCACAGUGARAAACAGGAGCAGCAGAGCAACUCGUCUUUGUGCAGCCAAAGAUAAGGAYGGGGUCGACUCCCCCCAUAAGAGCCUUCCACAGGAAAGCCGGGCGUCCAGGAAACCUGGGUUUUCCCCAAUCAAAAGUUCCAUUAACCUGGAGCACUGGGAGCUAAUUGAGAGCGAGAGAGGGUGAGAUGCAUCACCGUGUCAUUUCAGCCACACGGCUCGAMGUCUGACAUAUUUGUAAUUAUCUGGGAUAAUAAGAAACGAGAUGUGGCAACAAAACAACCCAGCUGAGCGGGAARAGCUUGGGCUGGAAGUGGACUCCUCCAGAAAAAGACAAUGAGCAGGAAGAUUCUUCCAACCUUUGAUAACCCAGAUCAUGUUUUAAGCAUUAGCAGAUGCGUAAGUAGAGCUUUUCAUAACAGGGCAGAGAAGAUCCACAAAUCUGCAUUACUGUUUUGAAGCUUUAUGAAUCUCAACUUCACACAUGCUCUUUGGUGGCGGGAGAUCACAAGUUCAUUAUGUUUUGCACCGUUUUCUGAUGCUUCUGAUGCUUCUGUCUCUCUUAUCUCCUUCAGAGGGUGAAAGAUAUUCUAAUCUGUCGCCCCAAUAGCCUUAAGCCCUGGUACGGAGAGUGGGCCAACUUUUGUUCCGCAUAAUCCCUCCACCCCAGCGAGGGGAGGUCAUGUUUGUCAAAAUGUGGCAACGUGAACAUGAUUUUUUUCUCCUCUUUCCUCCUCCUCCUCCUCCUCCUUCCCUGGCUUAAUUUGGAAUUAAAAAUGCAUGCGAUUUUGAACUUUAGAUCUCUGGAGAGAGCCGUAAACAAGUAUGAAAUGAAGUGUCUUUUGAAAUGCUGCGGUAGGGACGUGAACUGAAUUGAGAGGUUGGCAUUAUUCAGCAGUGGCAGGCUUCAGAAGGGUGGGCGGGUGACCAGAGUAGCCUCUCCAGUCAAMUCACUCAAAAAUGGUCCACACUGAAAAAACAAARAGUGCAGAGAAAGGGAGGAUGCACUGUAUCUCUAUCUAUAAUAUAAUAUAUACGUGUGUGAGUGUUUAUGGUGUAAAACUGUAAAAUUCGUGAGUAAUUGUAUGUGACGUUUUUCACGUUUUGAUGCCAUAUGAUACAACGUAUACAUGUAUGUAUUUUGCAUAUUUCAAGCAACACUAUGAAGCUUAUUGAGCCACAGCGCCCACUCCUGUUGGGCUCUGUGUCCGAGAGAUGAAGUGAUUUUCACGUAGAAAAACCCCCUCAAAGUCUAUCGUUAAUGUGCAGUCCCCCCRUCACUGAAGUGAUUUUACCCAUAAUCCCCCUCCUGAACCAGACAAAUUGCCGCAGCAACAAAUACACCAAACUCUCUAUUCCAAAUCAGUGAACCAUCAAACUAAUAGUAAAGUUGCUGUUUUAAGUGAAAAGUUGCAUAUUGUAGCUUUUAGAAAUGUUUUUAGGUCGUACUAUAUAGAAAUAUAAAUAUAGAUAUAUUUAUAGUGUUUUUUGCAUUUGUACUCAUCCUAUUCAAUUAGUUUUUAUGUCAUACUACACAAUGACAAUUUGAUCUGAUGAGAUUUUUAGGACAUUUUGGACACCAUACUAUACACCAUACUGACAUUUUUAUGUGAUUUUAGAUGCCAUACUAUGAUGUCUUGCACACCAUACUAUACUAUAUAUSUGACAUUUUGGACACUAUACUACUAACCUAUGAUUUUUUUGUUUUGUUUUGUUGUGUCUUCAGGUCACAGAGCUGAACCAGGUGAGGUGCAGUGAGGAUGAGAAGAAUAGAAAUGUGUCUGACCAUCACAUUUCUCGUACAUUUCAUUCUGUAUAAUUAUGUUUUUAUGAAUUGUAUGAUGUACUAGGAUUUUCACCAUAUGUCAAUACACACAAAGUGUCUGUGUGCGUUAAGAGGAGGACCAGAAGUCAUGGAAAGAAAGAAAAAAGGAAGGCAGGUUUGACUUCUACAACCCGAUAAUUCCAGAAGCCAGAAAAGCCUGUCUUCUAAUGUGACUUCAUGACAGUUCAGUCCCCUAAAUCUCACUGUGAUUGUGCUGACACUGUUGACAAUUUGUAUGCAAGUGAAUGAAAGUUUUAUGCCUUAAAAUACAAGAUAAAAAAGUUCAAUGCUU
Paralichthys olivaceus (Japanese flounder) is the source of this 6710-nucleotide non-coding RNA. The record is from RefSeq and is a predicted model, not a curated record. NCBI's taxonomy places the organism in Eukaryota, Metazoa, Chordata, Actinopteri, Pleuronectiformes, Paralichthyidae.